UUUAUGGAGAGUUUGAUCCUGGCUCAGGACGAACGCUGGCGGCGUGCUUAACACAUGCAAGUCGAACGGAAAGGCCUAGCUUGCUAGGUACUCGAGUGGCGAACGGG
RNAcentral lists this ribosomal RNA (107 nucleotides) under Corynebacterium diphtheriae. RNAcentral's name for it is "partial 16S ribosomal RNA". It matches the Rfam family "Bacterial small subunit ribosomal RNA", at positions 1 to 106 of the family's 1533-position model. Lineage: Bacteria; Bacillati; Actinomycetota; Actinomycetes; Mycobacteriales; Corynebacteriaceae. RNAcentral also lists the same sequence under 2 other names. The record is from RNAcentral.